CCCUUAGAUGUCCGGGGCUGCACGCGCGCUACACUGACUGGCUCAGCGUGUGCCUACCCUACGCCGGCAGGCGCGGGUAACCCGUUGAACCCCAUUCGUGAUGGGGAUCGGGGAUUGCAAUUAUUCCCCAUGAACGAGGAAUUCCCAGUAAGUGCGGGUCAUAAGCUUGCGUUGAUUAAGUCCCUGCCCUUUGUACACACCGCCCGUCGCUACUACCGAUUGGAUGGUUUAGUGAGGCCCUCGGAUCGGCCCCGCCGGGGUCGGCCCACGGCCCUGGCGGAGCGCUGAGAAGACGGUCGAACUUGACUAUCUAGAGGAAGUAAAAGUCGUAACA
RNAcentral lists this ribosomal RNA (334 nucleotides) under uncultured eukaryote. RNAcentral's name for it is "partial 18S ribosomal RNA". It matches the Rfam family "Eukaryotic small subunit ribosomal RNA", at positions 1470 to 1796 of the family's 1831-position model. The record is from RNAcentral.